UGAGGAAUUUUCCGCAAUGGGCGAAAGCCUGACGGAGCAAUGCCGCGUGAAGGAUGAAGGCCUAUGGGUUGUAAACUUCUUUUCUCAGAGAAGAAAUUUUGACGGUAUCUGAGGAAUAAGCAUCGGCUAACUCUGUGCCAGCAGCCGCGGUAAGACAGAGGAUGCAAGCGUUAUCCGGAAUGAUUGGGCGUAAAGCGUCUGUAGGUGGCUUAAAAAGUCUCCUGUCAAAGAUCAGGGCUUAACCCUGGGCCGGCAGGAGAAACUCUUAGGCUAGAGUUUGGUAGGGGCAGAGGGAAUUCCCGGUGGAGCGGUGAAAUGCGUAGAGAUCGGGAGGAACACCAAAGGCGAAAGCACUCUGCUGGGCCACAACUGACACUGAGAGACGAAAGCGAGGGGAGCA
This 400-nucleotide ribosomal RNA is filed under the name uncultured bacterium. RNAcentral describes it as "bacterial SSU rRNA". It matches the Rfam family "Bacterial small subunit ribosomal RNA", at positions 355 to 770 of the family's 1533-position model. The record is from RNAcentral.